GACGAACGCUGGCGGCGUGCUUAACACAUGCAAGUCGAACGGAAAGGCCCUGCUUUUGUGGGGUGCUCGAGUGGCGAACGGGUGAGUAACACGUGAGUAACCUGCCCUUGACUUUGGGAUAACUUCAGGAAACUGGGGCUAAUACCGGAUAGGAGCUCCUGCUGCAUGGUGGGGGUUGGAAAGUUUCGGCGGUUGGGGAUGGACUCGCGGCUUAUCAGCUUGUUGGUGGGGUAGUGGCUUACCAAGGCUUUGACGGGUAGCCGGCCUGAGAGGGUGACCGGCCACAUGGGGCCUGAGAUACGGCCCAGCCCCAUACGGGAGGCAGAAGGGGGGAAUAUGGCACAAGGGGGGGAGGCCUGAUGCAGCAACCCCGGGUGCGGGAUGACGGCUUUCGGUUUGAAAACCGCUUCCGCCUGUGACGAAGGGGGAGUGACGGUAAGGGGUAAAGAAGCACCGGCUAACUACGUC
Molecule: ribosomal RNA, 468 nt
Filed under: uncultured bacterium
Lineage: Bacteria
Description: partial 16S ribosomal RNA
Rfam family: Bacterial small subunit ribosomal RNA
Source: RNAcentral